This 88-nucleotide transfer RNA is filed under the name Anaerolineae bacterium. RNAcentral describes it as "tRNA-Ser". It matches the Rfam family "tRNA". From Rfam's summary of the family: Transfer RNA (tRNA) molecules are approximately 80 nucleotides in length. Lineage: Bacteria; Bacillati; Chloroflexota; Anaerolineae. The record is from RNAcentral. RNAcentral also lists the same sequence under 2 other names.
GGAGGGAUGGCCGAGUGGUUGAUGGCAGUGGUCUUGAAAACCACCGUACAGGCUUCCUGUACCGUGGGUUCGAAUCCCACUCCCUCCG